RNAcentral lists this ribosomal RNA (319 nucleotides) under uncultured Alphaproteobacteria bacterium. RNAcentral's name for it is "bacterial SSU rRNA". It matches the Rfam family "Bacterial small subunit ribosomal RNA", at positions 1070 to 1392 of the family's 1533-position model. The record is from RNAcentral. Lineage: Bacteria; Pseudomonadati; Pseudomonadota; Alphaproteobacteria.
GAAUGUUGGGUUAGUCCCGCAACGAGCGCACCCUCGCCUUUAGUUGCCAGCAUGUUUGGGUGGGCACUCUAAAGGAACUGCCGGUGACAAGCCGGAGGAAGGUGGGGAUGACGUCAAGUCCUCAUGGCCCUUAUGUCCUGGGCUACACACGUGCUACAAUGGCGGUGACAGUGGGACGCCAGGCAGCGAUGCCGAGCUGAUCUCCAAAAGCCGUCUCAGUUCGGAUUGCACUCUGCAACUCGGGUGCAUGAAGGUGGAAUCGCUAGUAAUCGUGGAUCAGCAUGCCACGGUGAAUACGUUCCCGGGCCUUGUACCACCG